CUCGGCGCCCACAAGGACGGCUUUCCCACCACAGAUGUAAGGCUCAAUGGUCUAUAAUUAUCUGGACUAUCCCUACUACCCUUUUUGAACAAGGGGACAACAUUCGCCUCCCUCCAAUACUCCGGUACAAUUCCCGUGGACAAUGGGGACAUAAUGAUCUUCGCCAGAGGCUCAGCAAUCUAUUUCCUUGCCUCGGAUGCAGAACUGGGAAGCGCAGAUGGAGUUCAACACAGAUGAAGAGGUUCAUUUCUGCAGGUCAAAUUUGAACACAGAAUAUAAUAUUAAUGGGACAUUACUCCUGACAUUGGUCCCAAGACCCAGCCUGUUUACAGAACCGGAGCGGAACUGGAGCAGAUUCUUAGACACUUGUUUUCAUCGCAAAUCCAGAAGACAGUUUAACGUUUUUUCGUGAAUUUAUUCCCAGUGAAGGUGUGGAGAUGGGAGUUGGUCUCCGCGUUGUAAAAUGAAUCUGUCCCGGACUCGUAACUGAGAUAAACUCCCACCCUCCCGGGGUUGGGACAGG
Long non-coding RNA from Hypanus sabinus (Atlantic stingray), 523 nucleotides. RefSeq lists it as uncharacterized. NCBI's taxonomy places the organism in Eukaryota, Metazoa, Chordata, Chondrichthyes, Myliobatiformes, Dasyatidae. The transcript has 3 exons. The record is from RefSeq and is a predicted model, not a curated record.